UUGACCUCAAAUCAGGUAGGACUACCCGCUGAACUUAAGCAUAUCAAAGCCCGGGAGGA
This 59-nucleotide ribosomal RNA is filed under the name fungal sp. WkRe_2. RNAcentral's name for it is "partial 28S ribosomal RNA". The record is from RNAcentral. Lineage: Eukaryota; Fungi.